RNAcentral lists this ribosomal RNA (527 nucleotides) under uncultured bacterium. RNAcentral's name for it is "bacterial SSU rRNA". It matches the Rfam family "Bacterial small subunit ribosomal RNA", at positions 777 to 1304 of the family's 1533-position model. The record is from RNAcentral.
AAUAGAUACCCGGGUAGUCCACGCCGUAAACGAUGUCGACUUGGAGGUUGUGCCCUUGAGGCGUGGCUUCCGGAGCUAACGCGUUAAGUCGACCGCCUGGGGAGUACGGCCGCAAGGUUAAAACUCAAAUGAAUUGACGGGGGCCCGCACAAGCGGUGGAGCAUGUGGUUUAAUUCGAUGCAACGCGAAGAACCUUACCUACUCUUGACAUCCACGGAAUUUAGCAGAGAUGCUUUAGUGCCUUCGGGAACCGUGAGACAGGUGCUGCAUGGCUGUCGUCAGCUCGUGUUGUGAAUGUUGGGUUAAGUCCCGCAACGAGCGCAACCCUUAUCCUUUGUUGCCAGCGGUUUAGGCCGGGAACUCAAAGGAGACUGCCAGUGAUAAACUGGAGGAAGGUGGGGAUGACGUCAAGUCAUCAUGGCCCUUACGAGUAGGGCUACACACGUGCUACAAUGGCAUAUACAAAGAGAAGCGACCUCGCGAGAGCAAGCGGACCUCAUAAAGUAUGUCGUAGUCCGGAUUGGAGU